AACAAUUUCUAAGCAAAUUCAGCGCGUGUGGAUCAUGUAUCGCUUUGCCACUAACCUCGUUUCUAAACUCAGGAUAUGCAGAAGCAGCCAACUGGUGAAUAGUGGUAGACUUUCAUGGAGCCGAAAUUAUGCGGCUAAAGAUAUUAAGUUUGGGGUGGAGGCGAGGGCAACCAUGCUUAGAGGCGUGGAGGAGCUGGCUGAUGCCGUCAAAGUUACCAUGGGGCUUAA
Long non-coding RNA from Salvia miltiorrhiza (redroot sage), 228 nucleotides. RefSeq lists it as uncharacterized. The record is from RefSeq and is a predicted model, not a curated record. The transcript is spliced from 3 exons. NCBI's taxonomy places the organism in Eukaryota, Viridiplantae, Streptophyta, Magnoliopsida, Lamiales, Lamiaceae.